Oryzias latipes (Japanese medaka) is the source of this 228-nucleotide non-coding RNA. NCBI's taxonomy places the organism in Eukaryota, Metazoa, Chordata, Actinopteri, Beloniformes, Adrianichthyidae. The record is from RefSeq and is a predicted model, not a curated record.
ACUGCCACCAAUGGUUCAAGCAGCAAAAAUGGGGUCCUGUGUGAAACUAAAGCUCCUGAACCAAAAAAGAUUCCUGGAUGACGACAAACAAGCAGCUGCUGCAAAAAGGCUUGACUGAAACCAGGAGAAGACUGACAGGAGAGAUUAUUCCCGCGACCAGCGUGUACCGGCUCAUGGCUGCGUUGUGGUAGAGGUAGCAGGAGCCCGGCUCGCCACACUGAUCCUGCC